This is a long non-coding RNA of Lutzomyia longipalpis, 3561 nucleotides long. RefSeq lists it as uncharacterized. NCBI's taxonomy places the organism in Eukaryota, Metazoa, Arthropoda, Insecta, Diptera, Psychodidae. The record is from RefSeq and is a predicted model, not a curated record. The transcript has 3 exons.
AAAAAUCCUGGGAUAUCUGGAUUAAAUAAAAAAAACUUUUCAACUCACCGCACAACACCAUUCCAAUCAAUUUAAUUUGUUUCCCAAAGAAAAUUAACACAACUUUUUGCUCUUUUUGGUGGUUUGGUUCCCGGCACUUUGAAUUUGGAUGGAUCUCCAUGAGUGGACUUGAGAUGUUGAACGAGCCAAGGAUCCGAUCAAACUGAUGCUGCAAUGUUCCACAGCUAGCCAGCAAACGUUCCAUCCGGCCUGAAAUUGUGUGAUCUGCAAACCAGAUUCACCGGUUCAAACCCUCCUUGAUUAUGUACAUUUCUCACCGGGCGCGUAUCUCCGGCACACCUGGACCAGCGAAGGUGAGAGGAUGCUGCUGCUUGCGAAUGGAACGAGUUUUUCCAGCUUUGCCAAUGACCGUUGUCCAACAAAACAUUCAAUUACCACCGGUGAUGCUGUGCGAAUCUUCCAGGACAAUCGGGACAAUUGGACGAUGCCGUGAUUCAACCGUUGCAGGGGCCAUUUACAGGAAAUUUCCACGAGGGCUCUGGGAUGAGAACAAAAGGAUGUCUGGAGAAUUUUUGUUGCCCAUUCAUUGCGCGUUUGAACAAUAUUCCCAAAUCAGGAUGGACCAUUGUCCUUUGGCCGUCGUGGCAGUGUCUUAUAAGCAUUUCACACAGGCUCAUCUAAUCAUCCAGCGCGUCUGAAUGUCUUUCCCGCGCUGCCUUCUUGCCAAAAUUCCCAAAGCGUGACCGUUGAAAAUAAAUUCAUAAGAGCCACAGCACGAGGUUCAAGCUAAAAAGUUUCAUCAUUAGAGUUUGGCAAACACACACACAUAGUAUUAUUUCUUUGGCAUCCUAAAACUAAAUAAUUUCGCCUCAAAUGACCAAAGUUGCAAUUGGUUUGAGAUCCCUCCGGUUCAUUUUGGGGAGAUUGUAUUCUCGAAUGAGGUAAGGGUGCGCAAAAACUAAUAACAAGUUGCAACUAUUUUCAUUUCCAUUUGAUUGGGUUCGCUCACACAGCUUGCAUCUCAUUCCCAUUUAGAAUGCAACUUUCUCAAUUUUCGUUGACUUUAAAUACAUACUACUGAAAAACCCCCUCAUACAGCUUAAGAGGUGGCUGUGCAUAAACUUUUAAUGCAACGAAUUUCUAUACUUCCUAAAUUCUAAUGCAUCCAAUGUGACGAUUUAUCGUUGUUAUUGUUCAACAAAGCUGGGAAAUUGAAUAUUUUGUCAGCCCUGCAUUGAGCACACACUGGGUGUUAGGGGCGGUUACGCAAUGUCCUUGCAAUUGGGAUGAGGAGGGUUGUAAAGGCAUUGCUGGCAAGAGGGAUGGGACGACUGAAUCCAAUAGCUGUCGAUAUACGGAUUGCAUGCACAUUUAUGCCGAUACUGAGAGUUUGAUAUGGCUCAUCUCCGCACGUAAGUGAUUUUCACUUUCACUAUUCAAAUUCACACAGAUCUGUUCUCGAUUUCACCAGGAUAUCCCCAUACCAACUCACUCCAUUGCUUUCCUUAAGGUGGUAUACGAAAUUUCCUCAUUGUUAAUGCAUUAUUCUGGUCGAUUCUGCUUAAAUCUACUCAUUGCAAUCGAUUGAAAAAAUAAUGAGAAAAUUAUUCUUAAGCAGAUUUGGAUUUCAGGAUGACUAGAAAUCUGAAUUAGUUGGUGUUCCACUUCGUGGCCAACACCAAGUAUUGUAAUCGUCGGAAAAACCGACCACCUCAGAUCGGCCUCAAACUUGGUAUGAGCACGUUUUGGACAUCCCACAUUACGAAAAUGGUGGUGGAAAAAUUUUGAUCCGGCCGGCCUGCCGGCCGGCCUGCCGGCCUUCCGGCCGGUGGUCCAAACUUUGCCUUAUAGCUCGAGAACGGUAAUAUAUAGAGACUUCGGGUUUGAAGUUUUCUAUAGAAAUGUGGGUGUAAAAUUUCAUUUUUUCGCAUUUUCAAAAUUCAAGAUGGCCGCCGUUCGCCAUUUUGAAAUACCGUCAACCACUUCCCUUAUAGCUAAAGAUUUGAAAUUUUAGUAUGUUGUAGAGCUCAGUGAGACGUUUACAUCGAUAAUUCAUACUUGAAAAUCGGUCAAGCGGUUUAGCAAAUAUGGCCGCCUAAGGCAAAAAGUGUUUUUUCGAUAUAUCUCGAGAACGGCUUGACCGAUUUUGACCAUCUUGGUAUCAAAUGAAAGGUAUUGAGAAGCCCUACAACUGUUUAGAACAUUUCAAGUUUCAAAAACAUCCGCAAGAGGCGCUAAAAACAAAAACAAAAAUUGCCUAACUUUAAGGGGCUAUAUCUCCUAAUUCCGAUUAUCGAUUUCCUUUAAAUUUUGAUAUGUUGUAGCCUGACUCAAUAUCUUUCACCAGUCCAAAAAUGAAGAAAAUCUAUGUCGCCGUUUAGAAGAUAUCGCCAUUUGAAAAAUUCUUGAAUUUGAAAAGUUCUAAGAGCCAUAUCUCCUGAACUGCUUGACCGAUUUUGCUCAUCUUGAUAUCAAAUUAAAGAUUUUGCAAUUCUCUACAACUUUCUAGAACAUCAGAAAUCUCUAGAACCAUUUCAUGAGUACAAAAAACGCCAAAAACUGUUUUGGUCAAACAAAAAGCCGCCAUUUUGUGUUCUAGAGGUGACCUUGAAAAUCAUUGGAAUAUAUAUCAAAUUAUAACUUGUUUCAAGACCUUUCCAAAACUGGUCAAGAAAUUUCUCUAUGUGUUAUAAAACCAGAGAUAUGACCAUUUUUAUCCAUCAAAUUACUGAAUUUUACAAAAAAAUCAAUUUCGCCUUAACUAAUACUGCUCACAAAUUAAAGUACAACGCAUUAACAAACUUCUACACGUUGUGGGACACCAACUCUUAUAACUGGACGCGUUAUGAUUGACUUUCAUUUUGAAUUGAUUUGCUCUAAAAAGGAUUUUUUAAAGGUAAUUAAAUAAAUUGAGGAUUUCAAGCAACAUUAUCAGCUCAAGGAAAUGAAAAAAGAUAGGAAAAAGAAAGAAAAUGAAGAAAUAGAGUUGAAAAUAGAAUAUUUUCUUUGAAUUUUAACUGAUUUAAUUUGAAAUUGAAAUUGAAUUGAUUGGCUUGAAUUGAUCUUGAAUUUAUUAAUUUAAUCAGCUAACCCAGAUUUAUCCAUUAUAGGUACUAUAAUUCGGUAUAUUCGGAAAAAUAAUUUUGUAGACUUUGAGUACAUAAGAAUAGCAUAAAACAUUUUUAUCUUAAUAAAAAUCAAAGGGGUUCGGUAUAGAAGAUUUUUUUUUUUAUUUUUUGAGAUGUUUUGGUAGGAAAUUAAUUUUUCUGGACGACUUUGAAAUUAGAUUUAGAGUAAUUUUAAUUAAUUAAAAAAAAACAUUCUUUGAAGGAAAAAAAUUAUUAUAAAAGUCCUAUUGGCCUGCAAAUGUAUCAUUUAAUCAGGAAAAUCGACAUUCUGUACAAAAAAUCAGAAGAAUUAUUCACAUUAAAGCUUUGAGAAAAUGAGUUUUCUUUCAAGAAGGCACUCAAGGAGAAAGUAGGAUUAAAAAACUAUUACAAAGACUUUCCUCACAAGCUGCUACCUUCUACUGGGGACUUCAAAGUUAAUUCUUUAAUUAAU